GAGUAGAUGAGGGUGUGGCAUGUGGGAGAAGCUUCGUGGAGAGUCUGCGGGGGAGGGGAGUGUAUGAUAGGCCACUCGUCUUCAUUUAUCCAUUUCUAAUAGGCCAUAGCUCUAGGCCCACGCUGUAUGGGUUUUCAAAAUUACCGGGCGUGGCUCGAACUCUCCUUUCAAAAAUGACUUGCCAUGGCAGCAUAGCUGCAGCGCCUCAAAGAAGCAGCAAUUGUUAGCAAUGGCUCGUCUGAUCCGGCAAUGGCCGUUUCUACGUAACCAUUGCUUCUGUCACGCUGCGUUCAACUACCUCCUCUCUGAAUCUUUAAUUUUAUCCAUCAAAGCCACCUCUCCUCAUCUCUCUCUCACUAUAGUUACAGCUUCUAAUCGUAACGCGCAUUUUCUAUCACGCGGUCCAGAAAAAACUUCUGAUUUUUGGACAAGGAGGAAAUGCAAGCGAUUCGGAUUCUGAAUCAUACAAAAGCCGCAAACAGAAAAAACGCGAGGCUCGACUUGCCAUUCGUUGGGGCAUGGAGCUGGCUUCUUCUUCUCCACCUCAAAUCAAACGCAUUAUCAAGUGAUGAACGCAAAUUAACUUCCCUUCUUUUUUUUCCCCCCAAAAUCACCAACGUUAAAGCUAUUCUUUGCAGUUUAAAUUGUGUCUUGCUUGGGAUUUUCUAGGGUGGCUUCACUUGAGAAAGACGUAUUCGAUGCGUAAUGUUAGUCAAGAGACCAGGACCGGAUGUGCGGCAAGGAAAGCGGAGGCAAUAUAAUUAUAUCGGUAGUGAGCUCUGUAUCUUUUAAACACUAUCCUUGAGUAACUUUUUUAAGAGAUUAUGGUUGGCUUAGCUAGCUACGUUGUCUGUGUUUGUGUUUUGCCUUGCUGUGAAAUAUGGGAUAUCAAGUUGAAGCAAAUGCGUGGAAGUAAUUAAUCUUAGCUUUGGUGCAUGCUAAUGCAUUUAAUGUUACUAAUCGUGGAACAAGACUUGUUGCGUAUUUAAUGAGAAAGAUGUUCGUUUCAUGGUGUGGCUUUUAUUUCUCUCAAUCAAGUAAACUGUGUGCCAUGCAAGAACAUCAUAGGUGUAUAUCUUGUCUUGUAGAGAAUCUUUAACAUCGAGUUUUAGCAUUAUAAAUGUGUUCUUAAAUCUUGAUUGCUAUGUGCAAUGUGUGGGUAGGGAAAUUGUUGCGGGAUGUACAAACUGAACUGAUGGAUGCUUUGAUUCAUGCCUACAGAAGAUGGUGAUUAAUGGAGUAGGCUGCAGGGAUUUUCUGGUUUGGAGGAAAAGAUUAUUGGCGAUGACAAUGAAGAAUCUGGAGAAAGCGAAUACGAUGUGGAAGAGGAGGCAUGGGGUCACACGAGUACAUUGAUAUAGCAACCAGUUGGUUCGGUGGCCUGAUUAACAGACAUAAAAGUUAUAUCAAUGAAGUUUAUGCACUUCGAAGCAUUGAUUUUGACAGUCAGGUCAGUGAAAUGUCACCCUAAGUGUAUCAGUUACUGCAUAUCAGAGUCGUUCAUGAGAUAUCUCUAACAAUGGGCUAACGAUUCCUACUGCGAGUUUGUUGAUGAAAACAUGUUGUUUGGAAAGAAAAAAGGGGGUGAGAAUUCAUAUAAAGCCACCACAUGAACCAUCACUCGGCUUUCUUUCUUCUUUUUUUCCCAACUGAAGAAAUAAAGAACUAUCAACAGGAGACUUUAUUGCUUCCCGGACGAUUACUUGGCUCUUGUGAACCCAGCGUAUUUAACCCUACACAUUCUACGCAUGCUUAUAUCAUUAUAUAGUCCAAGAAGCAGAGACCAUGGUCUGUCUGUAUAAUUUGUUGCAAGGAUGCCUUCAAGGGUAACGUUGAAUUGUUUAUCAUCUAUCUUUCCUAUGAUAGAAUGAUCUAUCAAGUAGGAACUACAUAAACAUGUGCGAAGAAUGCAUGCAGUUCAAGAACGCAAGGGAGUUGCAGAAGAAAAUGAGCAGGAAGUGGAAACUGCAAUCACAGCUGCCAAAAAUUCCCUCGCCCGUUUCCUCCAUGGCCUUGAUGAGCAAAUGCCGAGUGAAUCUAAUCAUAUUGAUUUGUAAUAUAAAUAAUUUUUUAUCAUUGCAUAUUUUCUCCACAAAGCGUCUAAUACGUGUCUCAUUGAUCUCAGCAAUUUAUACUGGGCACAACACUGACGAGCCACCUCAUAGAAUUAUAGACUAUAUAGCUUGGGCUUAGGCUCGUGGAUGUAAACACGGCUUGUAGAGUCAUAUCUUUUGCUUUUGAAGGCCAGGCCCAUUACCAUUCCCCUUUCCUUCCCUUUUCCCUUCAUUCCUUUUUGUUCUCCUUUGUUUUUUCAUUUUGGACGGUGAGAAACAUUGGGAGUCUGGGACUUGCAAAGCGUUGGACACUUGAGCUGAUGUAUAGACCUAAGAAAAGAGUCCUAGAUGGUCCGAUAUGCAUUUACUUGGAUAAACUUGCGUGGUUCUAUCUUUGCGCUAAGGGCUAUACCGCCACACAAGAAUGGUACUGGAUAAUUACUUAUUUACUUGAAGGAAAGAAUCAUCUUAAAAGCGUGCUAUCAUUGUGUCGUAUAUGGCCGUCCAGUACCUUUACUAAGUUUUAGUGAAGGU
Long non-coding RNA from Populus trichocarpa (black cottonwood), 2588 nucleotides. RefSeq lists it as uncharacterized. The record is from RefSeq and is a predicted model, not a curated record. Lineage: Eukaryota; Viridiplantae; Streptophyta; Magnoliopsida; Malpighiales; Salicaceae. The transcript has 3 exons.